AAUCUCUCAAAAAAGAAAUCUGCACUAUUUUUGUGUGGCUUCUUGUUGCUUUGUGUUUUAUACUGUGUGGUCAUUUAUUUUGCUGUUCUGAUAUCAUGAUUCUCUACAUAGAAACUAGUAUUGUGACCAAGAAUUUAUUGAAAGCUUAAAAUGAUAACCUGCUUUAUUCAGCAAUAACUACCCUGAUCGUCAAAAUGAAAACAAUUCCAAAGUUCAAAAAUAACUAAUGUGUUUGGUAUCCAUAUUCACUUGUAUAUUAUGUUGACACUAAAAUUAAGAUUAUGGAAGCUGUUGAGAUGGCUCAGCAUUUAUAGGCACUGGUGACUUGAAAUGAUCCCUGGAAGCCAUUGAAGGAGAGACAGAUACUGGAAACAUCAUUUCUGAGCCAAUGAUGACAGUUGAAAGAAAGGACAUCAUCACAGAAAAGGGUGGAAAAAUGUUGAAUUAGAAGUUAUUGAUGAAUUAAAAGUUAUUCAAAACAUGAAGUUUCUCUGAGGAUAUACUUUCCCAUAUUGCUUUAACACUUCAAAAGAUGUUGAUGGAGAGACUCUAAGAACAUUGGUUUUGAGCAGGCUAAACAUUGGUCUUCAGUCAAAGCUCCAUGGUUUGGGGAAAAUCGGAAGAACCAGCCUCAUGAUGGGUCUAUCGCUACUGCUGCAGUAUUUGGAGAAGAGGGGUUGAAUCUUAAUCUUGAAUAUGGUCAAGUUCAUGACAGGAAAAGUUGGAGAGGUCACAUUUACUAAAGUGACAUGCUUUUGAAAUGAAAAGGUGACAAAGCUCAAACUGAAAAAUCUAUUCUAUUGUAGGAGCCAGAGGUGUUGAGAAUACCAGAACACAGCUCACAGAGUCAACUAAUCAGAGCUCAUAGGGCCUCCCAGAAACUGAAGUGACAAUCAUGAAGCCUGCAUAGGUCUGAGAUAGGUUCUCUACACAUAUGUUAUGCACAUAUAGUUAUGAGUUUGGUGUUUUGUGGCACAUAAAAAGUGUGAGUGAGGGAUGUCUCUGACAUUCCCCCUGCUCUUGGGACUGCUUGCCUCCUAUUGAAUUGCCUCACCAAAAGCUUGAUAUGAGGGUAUGUGCAUAGUCUUAUUGUAUCUUGCUAUACUAUGUUCUGCUGAUGUCCCUGGGAGGCCUGCUCUUUUGCGAAGGGAAACUGAAGAGAAGUGGAUCUGGGGAGUAGAGAGGGGGGACUGAGAGGACUGGAGGGCAAGGAAACUGUGGUUGGGAUGUAUUAAAAACAAAAAAUAAGAAAAUAAAAAUUAAAAAA
RNAcentral lists this long non-coding RNA (1267 nucleotides) under Cricetulus griseus (Chinese hamster). RNAcentral's name for it is "lncRNA (ENSCGRG00015033752.1)". Lineage: Eukaryota; Metazoa; Chordata; Mammalia; Rodentia; Cricetidae. The record is from RNAcentral.